Molecule: ribosomal RNA, 689 nt
Filed under: uncultured Serratia sp.
Lineage: Bacteria; Pseudomonadati; Pseudomonadota; Gammaproteobacteria; Enterobacterales; Yersiniaceae
Description: bacterial SSU rRNA
Rfam family: Bacterial small subunit ribosomal RNA
Source: RNAcentral
UAGUCCACGCUGUAAACGAUGUCGAUUUGGAGGUUGUGCCCUUGAGGCGUGGCUUCCGGAGCUAACGCGUUAAAUCGACCGCCUGGGGAGUACGGCCGCAAGGUUAAAACUCAAAUGAAUUGACGGGGGCCCGCACAAGCGGUGGAGCAUGUGGUUUAAUUCGAUGCAACGCGAAGAACCUUACCUACUCUUGACAUCCAGAGAACUUAGCAGAGAUGCUUUGGUGCCUUCGGGAACUCUGAGACAGGUGCUGCAUGGCUGUCGUCAGCUCGUGUUGUGAAAUGUUGGGUUAAGUCCCGCAACGAGCGCAACCCUUAUCCUUUGUUGCCAGCGGUUCGGCCGGGAACUCAAAGGAGACUGCCAGUGAUAAACUGGAGGAAGGUGGGGAUGACGUCAAGUCAUCAUGGCCCUUACGAGUAGGGCUACACACGUGCUACAAUGGCAUAUACAAAGAGAAGCGACCUCGCGAGAGCAAGCGGACCUCAUAAAGUAUGUCGUAGUCCGGAUUGGAGUCUGCAACUCGACUCCAUGAAGUCGGAAUCGCUAGUAAUCGUAGAUCAGAAUGCUACGGUGAAUACGUUCCCGGGCCUUGUACACACCGCCCGUCACACCAUGGGAGUGGGUUGCAAAAGAAGUAGGUAGCUUAACCUUCGGGAGGGCGCUUACCACUUUGUGAUUCAUGACUGGGG